CUUCUGCUGCUACCUCCAGGCUGGUGAUGCAUGGGACCUUCUCGGCACCUUUUUCAUACCAGCCUGGGUGCAGGACCUAGAACAGUGCCAGGAAUUGAGGAACAUUUGGAGCAUGAAAUGAAGUUUUCCAUAAUCAGGAUGGCAACGGGGACUGUGGGACAUGACCACCGACAUGGAAACCAAAGGGCCUCCUUCCCACCGCUUUUGUAAUGUGGCACCUACCAAGCACCAGGCAGUUGGUGUUAUUUCAGAGUUCUCACCAUGGCCCCAUAGUGCAGACAAGGAAAUGGAGGCCUGGAGGAAUGAAGGCCAGAACUGGGAUUCAAACCCAGGCAUGGGCCAUACAUCCAUUUGGUUCCUUCCCUGAAAAUUCGG
Molecule: long non-coding RNA, 375 nt
Filed under: Homo sapiens (human)
Lineage: Eukaryota; Metazoa; Chordata; Mammalia; Primates; Hominidae
Description: non-protein coding lnc-CBX8-2:1
Source: RNAcentral